UGUGUGAGCAGAGUGACACAGCAGCCUUUGUCUCUGAGCCAGAGAGACCGAGGUCCAUGGCACCAUCUAAAACUAAUCUAAAAUUCUAAACUUUUGAUAAUAAAUUGUAAAAAUGUAUAAUUUGAGCCUAUUUGUCUUCUCUCAUAAAAAAAAUCAACACAUUGGUGCCCAACACAAAGUUCGACUGGCUAAAAGUGAAGGAGAGAACUGGAAUCAGGACUGGUGGUGAGAGUUAAGCCUCGGCCUGGUCAAGGCACCGAAAUGGUUGCUCAGUGCGAGGAAAAAAUUGAGGAGCAUCAUUGGUUUUGGAUCGAUGGAACUCCUUUCAGAUUUACACACUGGUGUUGUAGAGAGCCUAACAAUGCUCGCCACAAUGAGUGCUGCCUACACAUGAACAGAUUGCAGAAGUCGAGUCUGGUCGACGGAAGUUGCGUCACCAAAACAACAACAACACGCAGCGGAACAGCGAAGAAGCCGGCAAGUCCGCUAUGUUUUUUUUUAUGGAAACUGGCAUUUCUUCUAUGUUUACGUUAAGUUACAGACUCUGGAUUUAGCGCAUUUAACCCUUUUUCUUUGUGGUAAAUGUUAGCUGCGCGCUAGCCGACAUCUAAGGUAUUACGCUCAUUUCUAGUCUUUUCAGUGGCUACAACUGAUGAUGGUAGUAAGUGUAUUUAAUAUCAUCCCAUGCAGGUUUACCGCACUGCCAUUUACUACACAUGUGUGUUUGGCUAUUGUCAGUACAUCUCGCUCGUUGUAAACUUUCUUUAAGUAUGUGUAACAUUAACAAUGAUAUUGUUGAUGGUAACGUGUAUGAUUCCAGCCUACCUGAUAGGCACUUUUGACUUUUUGUAGUUCAGUUCACUGAUUGACUAUCCUGCAGUGCUGUUUUCCUGUAUUCCUGUUUCAUCCACUUUAAUAAAGUGUCCUGUGUUACAGUAA
Long non-coding RNA from Oreochromis niloticus (Nile tilapia), 939 nucleotides. RefSeq lists it as uncharacterized. NCBI's taxonomy places the organism in Eukaryota, Metazoa, Chordata, Actinopteri, Cichliformes, Cichlidae. The record is from RefSeq and is a predicted model, not a curated record. The transcript has 2 exons.